RNAcentral lists this ribosomal RNA (253 nucleotides) under uncultured bacterium. Its description in RNAcentral is "partial 16S ribosomal RNA". It matches the Rfam family "Bacterial small subunit ribosomal RNA", at positions 524 to 776 of the family's 1533-position model. The record is from RNAcentral.
UACAGAGGUCCCAAGCGUUGUUCGGAUUCACUGGGCGUAAAGGGUGCGUAGGCGGUCGGGUAAGUCUGAUGUGAAAUCUCACAGCUUAACUGUGAAACUGCAUUGGAUACUAUCUGGCUAGAGGAAUGGAGGGGAGACUGGAAUACUUGGUGUAGCAGUGAAAUGCGUAGAUAUCAAGUGGAACACCAGUGGCGAAGGCGAGUCUCUGGACAUUUCCUGACGCUGAGGCACGAAAGCCAGGGGAGCAAACGGG